Nerophis lumbriciformis (worm pipefish) is the source of this 751-nucleotide long non-coding RNA. RefSeq lists it as uncharacterized. The record is from RefSeq and is a predicted model, not a curated record. NCBI's taxonomy places the organism in Eukaryota, Metazoa, Chordata, Actinopteri, Syngnathiformes, Syngnathidae.
GUUCACGUGUGGCUAUGCCGAACACACGCGGAGAACCUGUCGAACAAUCCUUUGCAAUCCACUCGAGCAGUGUGAUAAUAUUCACUGACUGACUGUGUGCAGUCAUUUCACUUCAUCAGCGGUCAGGUUUUUUGAUUGGGUGAUUCAAAUACCAUCUUCAUCUCCUGGAGCACCUUGUGUGGAGAGGACGACAUCGCCCUUCCAGCCCAGGUGGAUGAGAGGCUCCGCAGUCUCUCCAACUCCAACACUGAUUCCCCCCAUUCCCGAGAUCCAUCGAUCCGAUUCCCAGUGCAUACUGGGUGGCGAGCUAACUCAGAAUCUGGACACUGUGGUGCAGUGUUGACGUCCCCCUCCCCCACGAUCUGUGCGGUAGGACAAAGCUCAUACAGUGCACUGUUAGCUACAGAGAAACGGGCCUGGAGAUCGUACCCAGGACCUUCUUUUGGUGAGGCACCAGCACUAACCCCUGAGUUCCACCGUGCUGCCCCAUGAAAGAAUAUACAAUGUGAUAAAACAAGAUUUUUUUAUUGAACAAGUGUGGGACAAAUAACUUGUCAGCAGAACACACACCUUUAAAAAAGAUAAUCAGAAUGAGAUGUACACAAAAAUGUACAAAAGUGUAUGUGUUAACCCCGCCACUACCUUAUUUGAACUUUGUCUUUGGCUAUUUGGCCGCCGGAUCCUGGCUGGAACCUUGACUAGCAUCUCCGGGAACUGGAGCUGUGGAGAACAAAAUACACAAUCACAAAAU